RNAcentral lists this ribosomal RNA (643 nucleotides) under Sinosenecio latouchei. Its description in RNAcentral is "eukaryotic LSU rRNA". The stretch from base 256 to 411 matches the Rfam family "5.8S ribosomal RNA". The record is from RNAcentral. Lineage: Eukaryota; Viridiplantae; Streptophyta; Magnoliopsida; Asterales; Asteraceae.
UUGUCGAAACCUGCAUAGCAGAACAACUUGUGAACAUGUAACAACAGUCGGGUGUCCUUGGUCUUGUUUGAUUAAUUGGAUGCCUUGUCGACGUGCGUAUUUGGUUAACCUUUUGGGUCCUAAGUAUGUCACAUUGGCGUAAUAACAACCCCCGGCACGACAUGUGCCAAGGAAAAAUAUACAUAAAAAGGGCUUGUACCAUGCUUCCCCGUUUGCGGGGAUGGAAUGGGAUGCGGCUUCUUUAUAAUCACAAACGACUCUCGGCAACGGAUAUCUCGGCUCACGCAUCGAUGAAGAACGUAGCAAAAUGCGAUACUUGGUGUGAAUUGCAGAAUCCCGUGAACCAUCGAGUUUUUGAACGCAAGUUGCGCCCGAAGCCUUUCGGUUGAGGGCACGUCUGCCUGGGCGUCACACAUCUCGUCGCCCCCACCAAGCCUCCUCGACGAGGAUGUUUGGUUGCGGGCGGAGACUGGUCUCCCGUUCCUAUGGUGCGGUUGGCUAAAAUUUGAGUCCCCUACGACGGACGCACGAUUAGUGGUGGUUGACAAUACCCUUUUAUCAAGUCGUGUGUUCCAAGGAGUAAGGAAGAUGACCUAAAUGACCCUAACAUGUCGUCUUGUGACGAUGCUCGACCGCGACCCCA